RNAcentral lists this long non-coding RNA (262 nucleotides) under Malus domestica (apple). Its description in RNAcentral is "long non-coding RNA (MDOM_LNC012839)". The record is from RNAcentral. Lineage: Eukaryota; Viridiplantae; Streptophyta; Magnoliopsida; Rosales; Rosaceae.
CAACUACAUCUUAUGGAGUCAUGAAAAUUUUGGAAGAUCUUCUAAUUGACAGUCAUAUUGUCUUAGAAGUAUAUAUAUCCUAUAUAUAUGGGUAAUUGAUAACAUCCAAUGAACUAAAUCUUUAUUCGAGUUCGUUCUUCUCCUUAAUGGAGAAAUCCAUUAUCUUAUGAUGCUUCUUUCCUUGAUAUCUUUCAAGGAAACUGUUCUAAGGAGGUAAAUACUUUAGACGUCUUACUCAUCAACUUACAUUUCUUGAAUUCUU